Non-coding RNA from Phascolarctos cinereus (koala), 1307 nucleotides. NCBI's taxonomy places the organism in Eukaryota, Metazoa, Chordata, Mammalia, Diprotodontia, Phascolarctidae. The record is from RefSeq and is a predicted model, not a curated record.
GAAGAAGAAGAAGAAGAAGAAGAAGAAGAGAAGAAGAAGAAGAAGAAGAAGAAGAGAAGAAGAAGAAGAAGUAAUUCUUUGCCAGAUUCUCAGAAGACAUGGCCUGGGGCUGCCCCCCAGUUGAGGCAGCUUGGGUAUAUAUAUGUUUUUAGCUCAAGGUUGCUCUACCUUCAUAGUGACAGCCUUGCUUCCCCUGAGGAUGGCUAUACCAGGAAGCUGAUUGGAUGAUUGGCAACAGAAAUGACUUUGGCCUUAUGAGCUGCAGAAGGUCAGGAGAUGGAGCUUCUGGGAAGUCCAAGAGUGUAGUGUAUGGUGGGUUUUACAACCAGAAAAUCCAGCAUUGAUCCCCUGAGGACCAACCUUCAGGACUCAGCUGACAUACGAACUCAUCUUGGGGCUACAUUGCAUGUGCACUUGAAUUUUGUGGGGACCGGUUAAGGUUGAGCCCAUUAUCCCAAGUAGAAUAAGGUCUGGACCAUCAACAAAACAAUAAAUCAAGCCCUGAUUUGUAGCGCUUGCCAAUGUCCAAGGUCUAAAUGUGCACACUCAAAAUUCAGCCGUCAGCUCUUUGGAGCCUGUAGGAGCUGGCUCCAGCACACCCCUGGGAGGUACUUCAUUGCAUAGACGAGAAAAAUGGGGCCCAAAGGGGUGAAUGAUUUGCUGAACGUCAGAGCUGGGAUAUGAAACCAGGCCUUCCAACUAUAAAUCCAAUACUCUUUCUAUUAUAUUCCCAGUUGUAUGCGAUGGUGACCCUACAGGACGAUCUAGGAACUAUAGGAAGAACUGCAUAGGGAAGUGACUUGAAAGGUGCUUGGGAGUGAACUCAGGACCUCCUAGAGGAAGGGAGCAGGGAAGAAAUGCAUGGACCCGUUCCUGACAGCAUCUUCAACUAUCGCUAUUCUUUGUAAAUGAGGCUUUGCAAUGAACAAGGUUGUUGUCUUGGCCCAAUAAGAAACAAUUUGGGGGAAAAUCUAUACUGUUGUUUUUGUAGAUCCCAUCAGCUAUGGAAACAAUUCCAUGAAUCGCUGAGCCUAGAAUCUGCUUUAGGGAGCCAUUCAGCCUUACUGUGCCUCAGUUUUGCCACCAGGAUCAAUGGGAUCAUAAGGACAUCGGCCCUAUCAUCCUACAUCAAAACUGAGAGGUGAAUAUUCCAAUGUUCUUAGAGAGAAUAAGAAUGCUGUAGGGAGGUAGUUCUUCAUAUGUAGGGUGGCAGCCUUUGAGGUAGCCACGGGAAUAGUAUUUUUAUUGUCUUCGACAAAAUGUGCAGUAUGACUCAGUGUAAUAAACAAACAAACAAACAAUUAAAU